RNAcentral lists this ribosomal RNA (163 nucleotides) under uncultured Serratia sp. RNAcentral describes it as "partial 16S ribosomal RNA". It matches the Rfam family "Bacterial small subunit ribosomal RNA", at positions 355 to 508 of the family's 1533-position model. The record is from RNAcentral. Lineage: Bacteria; Pseudomonadati; Pseudomonadota; Gammaproteobacteria; Enterobacterales; Yersiniaceae.
UGGGGAAUAUUGCACAAUGGGCGCAAGCCUGAUGCAGCCAUGCCGCCGUCGUGUGAAGAAGGCCUUCGGGUUGUAAAGCACUUUCAGCGAGGAGGAAGGUGGUGAACUUAAUACGUUCAUCAAUUGACGUUACUCGCAGAAGAAGCACCGGCUAACUCCGUGC